UCCGGCUUAACGCCGGCAGUCUCCCUAGAGUGCCCAACUGAAUGGUGGCAACUAAGGACGAGGGUUGCGCUCGUUGCGGGACUUAACCCGACAUCUCACGACACGAGCUGACGACGACCAUGCAGCACCUGUGUUGGCUCCGGCCGAACCGAAGGCUCCGUCUCCAGAGCCGGCGAGCCACAAGUCAAGGGCUGGUAAGGUUCUUCGCGUUGCGUCGAACUGAACCACAUGCUCCACCGCUUGUGCGGGCCCCCGUCAAUUCCUUUGAGUUUCAACCUUGCGGCCGUACUCCCCAGGCGGGGUGCUUAACGCGUUAGCUGCGACACUGACGGGCAAGCCCGCCAACGUCUAGCACCCAUCGUUUACGGCGUGGACUAC
This 378-nucleotide unclassified non-coding RNA is filed under the name uncultured Alphaproteobacteria bacterium. RNAcentral's name for it is "contains 16S-23S intergenic spacer region". The record is from RNAcentral. Lineage: Bacteria; Pseudomonadati; Pseudomonadota; Alphaproteobacteria.